AUUGAACGCUGGCGGCAGGCCUAACACAUGCCAGUCGAACGGUAACAGGAAGCAGCUUGCUGCUUCGCUGACGAGUGGCGGACGGGUGAGUAAUGUCUGGGAAGCUGCCUGAUGGAGGGGGAUAACUACUGGAAACGGUAGCUAAUACCGCAUAAUGUCGCAAGACCAAAGAGGGGGACCUUCGGGCCUCUUGCCAUCGGAUGUGCCCAGAUGGGAUUAGCUUGUUGGUGGGGUAACGGCCCACCAAGGCGACGAUCCCUAGCUGGUCUGAGAGGAUGACCAGCCACACUGGGACUGAGACACGGUCCAGACUCCUACGGGAGGCAGCAGUGGGGAAUAUUGCACAAUGGGCGCAAGCCUGAUGCAGCCAUGCCGCGUGUAUGAAGAAGGCCUUCGGGUUGUAAAGUACUUUCAGCGGGGAGGAAGGGAGUAAAGUUAAUACCUUUGCUCAUUGACGUUACCCGCAGAAGAAGCACCGGCUAACUCCGUG
RNAcentral lists this ribosomal RNA (490 nucleotides) under uncultured bacterium. RNAcentral's name for it is "partial 16S ribosomal RNA". It matches the Rfam family "Bacterial small subunit ribosomal RNA", at positions 30 to 507 of the family's 1533-position model. The record is from RNAcentral.